GUGGGGAAUAUUGGACAAUGGGCGAAAGCCUGAUCCAGCCAUGCCGCGUGUGUGAAGAAGGUCUUCGGAUUGUAAAGCACUUUAAGUUGGGAGGAAGGGUUGUAGAUUAAUACUCUGCAAUUUUGACGUUACCGACAGAAUAAGCACCGGCUAACUCUGUGCCAGCAGCCGCGGUAAUACAGAGGGUGCAAGCGUUAAUCGGAAUUACUGGGCGUAAAGCGCGCGUAGGUGGUUUGUUAAGUUGGAUGUGAAAGCCCCGGGCUCAACCUGGGAACUGCAUCCAAAACUGGCAAGCUAGAGUACGGUAGAGGGUGGUGGAAUUUCCUGUGUAGCGGUGAAAUGCGUAGAUAUAGGAAGGAACACCAGUGGCGAAGGCGACCACCUGGACUGAUACUGACACUGAGGUGCGAAAGCGUGGGGAGCAAACAGGAUUAGAUACCCCUGUAGUCC
RNAcentral lists this ribosomal RNA (450 nucleotides) under uncultured bacterium. RNAcentral's name for it is "partial 16S ribosomal RNA". It matches the Rfam family "Bacterial small subunit ribosomal RNA", at positions 354 to 796 of the family's 1533-position model. The record is from RNAcentral.